AAACAAGCCAAGAGACGCAAACAUUAAAGACCAAUGCCAUCUCAAAUCCCCGCAUGGGAAUACUUCGUCUGUCACGACUGUCCCUGGGAAUCCACAGGAGGUGAACUGAAUAAGAUUAGACUAUUUACCCCAUCAACUCUCCAUCAAAGAAGGUGAAAGCAGCACCGCGGGACACGAGUGGGCACCGGAGGAGCCGCGGCGCUGGCGGAGCACACACCGCCCCGCCCGGGCCCGCCGGGCGCUCGGCUUCCCAAAGACUUUUUUGCUCU
Vidua chalybeata is the source of this 269-nucleotide long non-coding RNA. RefSeq lists it as uncharacterized. Lineage: Eukaryota; Metazoa; Chordata; Aves; Passeriformes; Viduidae. The transcript has 3 exons. The record is from RefSeq and is a predicted model, not a curated record.